This 582-nucleotide ribosomal RNA is filed under the name Meloidogyne incognita (southern root-knot nematode). RNAcentral describes it as "eukaryotic LSU rRNA". The stretch from base 245 to 398 matches the Rfam family "5.8S ribosomal RNA". The record is from RNAcentral. Lineage: Eukaryota; Metazoa; Nematoda; Chromadorea; Rhabditida; Meloidogynidae.
CGUAGGUGAACCUGCGGAAGGAUCAUUACUUUAUGUGAUGCUCAAAUUUAAAUUCGCAAUGAAAUGAUCGUUGUGAAACGGCUGUCGCUGGUGUCUAAGUGUUGCUGAUACGGUUGUGAACGUCCGUGGCUGUAUAUGUGGUGACAUGUUAGGACUCUAAUGAGUUUAAGACCUAAUGAGCCUCUUAAGUGAGGCCGCCAGCAACCUUUUUUUUCUCUACAUUUUAAAAAAAAAACUAAAAUUCUACCCUUAUCGGUGGAUCACUAGGCUCGUGGAUCGAUGAAGAACGCAGCAAACUGCGAUAAUUAUUGCGAACUGCAGAAGUAUUGAGCACAAAAGUUUUGAACGCAAAUGGCCGCAUUGAGGUCAAACUCUUUGCAACGUCUGGUUCAGGGUCAUUUUCUCUUAUAGCGGAAGCUUUAAUUUCUAUAAUGAUGUUGUUGCUUUAUAUUUUAAAAGGAUUUUUGUUUAUUCAUGUAUUAAAUCUAACUGUGAAAAUCAAACAACUUUGACCUGAACUCAGUCGAGAGCACCCGCUGAACUUAAGCGUAUCAGUAAGCGGAGGAAAAGAAACUAACCAGG